UCAACGCAGUGAUUCGAGCUCGGUACCCGGGGAUCCUCUAGAGAUUAGAGUUUGAUCCUGGCUCAGGAUUAAUGCUGGCGGCAUGCCUAAUACAUGCAAGUUGAACGGAUAGUAGCAAUACUAUUAGUAGCGAACGGGUGAGUAACACGUACUUAAGAUACCAUAAUGUUUGGGAUAACUAGUGGAAACAUUAGCUAAUACCGAAUAGGAUAACUAAUCGCAUGAAUAGUUAUUUAAAGGGGCCCUUAAAAGCCUUGCUUUAUGAUUCAGGUGCGGUGCAUUAGCUAGUUGGUAAGGGUAAUGGCCUACCAAGGCAAUGAUGCAUAGCCAAUCUGAGAGGAUGAAUGGCCACAUUGGGACUGAGACACGGCCCAAACUCCUACGGGAGGCAGCAGUAGGGAAUUUUUCACAAUGGGCGAAAGCCUGAUGGAGCAAUGCCGCGUGUUUGAUGACGGCCUUUGGGUUGUAAAAAACUGUUAUAUGGGAUGAAAAAAAUAGAUAGGAAAUGAUCUAUUAUUGACAGUACCAUAUUAGAAAGCCACGGCUAACUACGUGCCAGCAGCCGCGGUAAUACGUAGGUGGCAAGCAUUAUCCGGAAUUAUUGGGUGUAAAGGGAGCGUAGACGGUUUUAUAAGUCUGAGGUUAAAUGCAUAAGCUUAACUUAUGCCUGCCUUAGAAACUAUGAAACUAGAAUGUGAUAGAGGACAAUGGAAUUCCAUGUGUAGCGGUGGAAUGCAUAGAUAUAUGGGGGAACACCAAUUGCGAAAGCAGUUGUCUGGGUCAUUAUUGACGUUGAGGCUCGAAAGCAUGGGGAGCAAAUAGGAUUAGAUACCCUAGUAGUCCAUGCCGUAAACGAUGAAUACUAGUUAUUAGGAGUUUAUCCUAGUAACUUAGCUAACGCGUUAAGUAUUCCACCUGAGUAGUACAUUCGCAAGAAUGAAACUUAAAGGAAUUGACGGGGACCCGCACAAGCGGUGGAGCAUGUGGUUUAAUUCGAAGCAACGCGAAAAACCUUACCUGGGUUUGACAUCCCUUGCAAAGCUAUAGAAAUAUAGUGGAGGUUGUCAAGGUGACAGGUGGUGCAUGGUUGUCGACAGUUCGUGUCGUGAGAUGUAUGGUUAAGUCCCAUAACGAGCGCAACCCUCAUCCUUAUUUACUAACAUUAAGUUGAGCACUAUAAGGAAACUGCAGUCGUAAGAUUGAGGAAGGUGGGGAUGACGUCAAAUCAUCAUGCCCCUUAUAUCCAGGGCUACACACGUGCUACAAUGGUAGAGACAAAGGGAAGCUAACCCGAGAGGGGGUGCAAAUCUCAUCAAACUCUACCUCAGUUUGGAUUAAAGUCUGCAAUUCGACUUUAUGAAACCGGAAUCGCUAGUAAUCGCAAAUCAGCAUUGUUGCGGUGAAUACGUUCUCGGGUCUUGUACACACCGCCCGUCACACCAUGAGAGUUAGCAAAACCAGAAGUCAUUUAUUUAACUUCAUUGAGAAAAAUGCCAAAGGUAGGGCUGAUGAUUGGGGUGAAGUCGUAACAAGGCCGUAAAUCGUCGACCUGCAGGCAUGCAAGCUGGCGUAAUCCA
Molecule: ribosomal RNA, 1577 nt
Filed under: uncultured bacterium
Lineage: Bacteria
Description: partial 16S ribosomal RNA
Rfam family: Bacterial small subunit ribosomal RNA
Source: RNAcentral